RNAcentral lists this long non-coding RNA (144 nucleotides) under Mustela putorius furo (domestic ferret). RNAcentral's name for it is "lncRNA (ENSMPUG00000026758.1)". The record is from RNAcentral. Lineage: Eukaryota; Metazoa; Chordata; Mammalia; Carnivora; Mustelidae.
GCAAACUAUGGCCCAUGGAUCCAGUGCGGCCCACCACCUACUUUCACAGAGUGCAGAGGGCACGGAAACUGAGGCAGGAUGGGAUAAGUAGUUUCAGGCCAUGCAGCUGAAGCCUUGAAAAUGGAACUUCUCCAUAAUGCCUGC